RNAcentral lists this ribosomal RNA (253 nucleotides) under uncultured bacterium. Its description in RNAcentral is "partial 16S ribosomal RNA". It matches the Rfam family "Bacterial small subunit ribosomal RNA", at positions 524 to 776 of the family's 1533-position model. The record is from RNAcentral.
UACGUAGGUGGCAAGCGUUGUCCGGAAUUAUUGGGCGUAAAGCGCGCGCAGGCGGUCCUUUAAGUCUGAUGUGAAAGCCCACGGCUCAACCGUGGAGGGUCAUUGGAAACUGGGGGACUUGAGUACAGAAGAGAAGAGUGGAAUUCCACGUGUAGCGGUGAAAUGCGUAGAGAUGUGGAGGAACACCAGUGGCGAAGGCGGUUCUCUGGGACGGUACUGACGCUGAGACGCGAAGGCGUGGGGAGCAAACAGG